RNAcentral lists this ribosomal RNA (446 nucleotides) under uncultured bacterium. RNAcentral's name for it is "partial 16S ribosomal RNA". It matches the Rfam family "Bacterial small subunit ribosomal RNA", at positions 354 to 796 of the family's 1533-position model. The record is from RNAcentral.
GUAGGGAAUAUUGGACAAUGGGGGGAACCCUGAUCCAGCCAUGCCGCGUGGAGGAAGACUGCCCUCUGGGUUGUACACUCCUUUUAUAUGGGAAGAACCGUCCUCACUAAUGAGUGACCUGACGGUACCAUAGGAAUAAGCACCGACUAACUCCGUGCCAGCAGCCGCGGUAAUACGGAGGGUGCAAGCGUUAUCCGGAUUCACUGGGUUUAAAGGGUGCGUAGGCGGAUAAAUAAGUCAGUGGUGAAAUCAACGGGCUCAACCUGUUAACGGCCAUUGAUACUGUGUAUCUUGAAUAUGAGAGAGGUAGGCGGAAUGUUGCAUGUAGCGGUGAAAUGCUUAGAUAUGCUACGGAACACCGAUUGCGAAGGCAGCUUACUAUUUCGUAAUUGACGCUGAGGCACGAAAGCGUGGGUAGCGAACAGGAUUAGAAACCCGUGUAGUCC